Molecule: ribosomal RNA, 345 nt
Filed under: Nematoda environmental sample
Lineage: Eukaryota; Metazoa; Nematoda
Description: bacterial SSU rRNA
Rfam family: Eukaryotic small subunit ribosomal RNA
Source: RNAcentral
GGUGGAGCGAUUUGUCUGGUUAAUUCCGAUAACGAACGAGACUCUAGCCUGCUAAAUAGUUCGUCGAUGGCACUCUGUCGGCGCUAACUUCUUAGAGGGACAAGUGGCGUUCAGUCACACGAGAUUGAGCAAUAACAGGUCUGUGAUGCCCUUAGAUGUUCGGGGCCGCACGCGCGCUACACUGAAGGAGUCAACAUGCAUUGAUACCUAGUCUGGAAAGACCGGGUAACCCAAUGAAACUCCUUCGUGAUUGGGAUAGGGAAUUGUAAUUAUUUCCCUUGAACGAGGAAUUCCUAGUAAAUGCGGGUCAUCAUCUCGCGUUGAAUACGUCCCUGCCCUUUGUAC